RNAcentral lists this ribosomal RNA (255 nucleotides) under uncultured bacterium. RNAcentral describes it as "partial 16S ribosomal RNA". It matches the Rfam family "Bacterial small subunit ribosomal RNA", at positions 524 to 776 of the family's 1533-position model. The record is from RNAcentral.
UACGUAGGGUGCGAGCGUUAAUCGGAAUUACUGGGCGUAAAGCGUGCGCAGGCGGUUCGUUAAGACAGAUGUGAAAUCCCCGGGCUUAACCUGGGAACUGCAUUUGUGACUGGCGAGCUAGAGUAUGGCAGAGGGGGGUAGAAUUCCACGUGUAGCAGUGAAAUGCGUAGAGAUGUGGAGGAAUACCGAUGGCGAAGGCAGCCCCCCUGGGCCAAUACUGACGCUCAUGCCACGAAAGCGUGGGGAGCAAACAGG